AGCAGCCGCGGUAAUUCCAGCUCCAAUAGCGUAUAUUAAAGUUGUUGCAGUUAAAAAGCUCGUAGUUGAAUUUCGGGACUAAUAUGUCGGUCGUACUUUGUACGUACUAGCAUUAUUGGUUUCUCCCUUCUGACGAACCACGAUGUCAUUAAUUUGGUGUCUUGGGAAAUCAGAACUGUUACUUUGAAAAAAUUAGAGUGUUUAAAGCAAGCUCGCGCUUGAAUACAUUAGCAUGGAAUAAUGAAAUAGGACGUUUGAUUCUAUUUUGUUGGUUUCUAGGAUCGACGUAAUGAUUAAUAGGGAUAGUUGGGGGCAUUAGUAUUCAAUUGUCAGAGGUGAAAUUCUUGGAUUUAUUGAAGACUAACUACUGCGAAAGCAUUUGCCAAGGAUGUUUUCAUUAAUCAAGAACGAAAGUUAGGGGAUCGAAGACGAUCAGAUACCGUCGUAGUCUUAACCAUAAACUAUGCCGACUAGGGAUCGGAUGAUGUUAAUUUUUAAUGACUCAUUCGGCGCCUUACGG
This 520-nucleotide ribosomal RNA is filed under the name uncultured Glomus. RNAcentral's name for it is "SSU rRNA". It matches the Rfam family "Eukaryotic small subunit ribosomal RNA", at positions 569 to 1093 of the family's 1831-position model. The record is from RNAcentral. Lineage: Eukaryota; Fungi; Glomeromycota; Glomeromycetes; Glomerales; Glomeraceae.